RNAcentral lists this non-coding RNA (45 nucleotides) under Schistosoma haematobium. The record is from RNAcentral. Lineage: Eukaryota; Metazoa; Platyhelminthes; Trematoda; Strigeidida; Schistosomatidae.
AUCCAUCUGACGAGUCCCAAAUAGGACGAAACGUGCAUCCUUGAU